UAGGGAAAUCUUCCACAAUGGACGCAAGUCUGAUGGAGCAACGCCGCGUGAGUGAAGAAGGUUUUCGGAUCGUAAAGCUCUGUUGUUGGUGAAGAAGGAUAGAGGUAGUAACUGGCCUUUAUUUGACGGUAAUCAACCAGAAAGUCACGGCUAACUACGUGCCAGCAGCCGCGGUAAUACGUAGGUGGCAAGCGUUGUCCGGAUUUAUUGGGCGUAAAGCGAGCGCAGGCGGAUUGAUAAGUCUGAUGUGAAAGCCUUCGGCUCAACCGAAGAACUGCAUCAGAAACUGUCAAUCUUGAGUGCAGAAGAGGAGAGUGGAACUCCAUGUGUAGCGGUGGAAUGCGUAGAUAUAUGGAAGAACACCAGUGGCGAAGGCGGCUCUCUGGUCUGUAACUGACGCUGAGGCUCGAAAGCAUGGGUAGCGAACAGGAUUAGAUACCCUGGUAGUCCAUGCCGUAAACGAUGAGUGCUAAGUGUUGGGAGGUUUCCGCCUCUCAGUGCUGCAGCUAACGCAUUAAGCACUCCGCCUGGGGAGUACGACCGCAAGGUUGAAACUCAAAGGAAUUGACGGGGGCCCGCACAAGCGGUGGAGCAUGUGGUUUAAUUCGAAGCAACGCGAAGAACCUUACCAGGUCUUGACAUCCUUUGACCACCUAAGAGAUUAGGUUUUCCCUUCGGGGACAAAGAGACAGGUGGUGCAUGGCUGUCGUCAGCUCGUGUCGUGAGAUGUUGGGUUAAGUCCCGCAACGAGCGCAACCCUUGUUAAUAGUUGCCAGCAUUAAGUUGGGCACUCUAUUGAGACUGCCGGUGACAAACCGGAGGAAGGUGGGGAUGACGUCAAGUCAUCAUGCCCCUUAUGACCUGGGCUACACACGUGCUACAAUGGGCAGUACAACGAGAAGCGAACCUGUGAAGGCAAGCGGAUCUCUUAAAGCUGUUCUCAGUUCGGACUGUAGGCUGCAACUCGCCUACACGAAGCUGGAAUCGCUAGUAAUCGCGGAUCAGCACGCCGCGGUGAAUACGUUCCCGGGCCU
RNAcentral lists this ribosomal RNA (1034 nucleotides) under uncultured Lactobacillus sp. RNAcentral describes it as "bacterial SSU rRNA". It matches the Rfam family "Bacterial small subunit ribosomal RNA", at positions 354 to 1381 of the family's 1533-position model. Lineage: Bacteria; Bacillati; Bacillota; Bacilli; Lactobacillales; Lactobacillaceae. The record is from RNAcentral.